UUUUCGCCUUUUUGUUGAAUAGAAGACUCGUAUUCUCUAAUCGCACGGACUCCUGCCAAAAUCUCUUCCGGAAUGAUGACCUUGCCGUACUCGCCGUUGAAAAAAUCCUCAUUCUUCUGAAGCGCAGCGGCGACGCCAGCGGCACCUCGAUAUUUUGACGCGACAAGUCGCAUUCCGCAAGAAGUAACAAGACCUUUGGGACCGAAUUGCUCUAGGAAUUCGCAAUGUGUCUUUUCAAGCUUGCUUUGCUGGCUAUAUAAUGGUUGUCAGCCUCGUCAUUCAUCAUUAUUAUCGCUAUACUCACCGGUUCUUUGAAGCCCAAUCACGUUUACUCUUCAAAUUCCUCUCCUUAGCGUCAGAUUUAUUCCUGGGUCGGUUAGGAUCUACUACGAUAGCUCUCGUUAGCCGUCACCAGGGCUAGAUGCCUUUACAAUUGCUCACCACAAUCCCAUCUACUUCUUCGAGCCUGCACACUCAAUGGUACUCCAUGUUUGUCCUGCAAAUGUCUCCUCGCGACACUCCGCGCAUUUUUCCCAUCAUACGUUUUGGAACACACUCGACAAGUAUACAUCUCCCACUGGCUGUUAUGCCCUCCAAAACCAGGCCUAUUCUUCUCAGGUGGGUGAAGAAUCAAAAGAUCAUUGACUUCGAGGAUCGAACCCGCAGGUGCUGGCAGAAGGCCAGUUUUACGAGCACCUUUGAGUUGGAUGGGUGGUUGCGAUGGGUUUGGGAAGAACAUGAAUGUGGCUUCUUCUGAUGAGGCAGCAUCGGUACCGAGAGAGGUGGCGCUGGCUACAGAUCUGGACCUGGCACGGGUGGCGGGCGUCUUACCCUUCUUUUUUACGUCCGCAAUUGUACUUUGGGGAGCUAGAGCGGGAUCAAGAAGCUCGGGCUCAUUUUCAAGUUCGUCUUCCUCAGCAUCGGGGCCAGCAAAGGCGUCAACAGAUAUUCGAGCCUGGUAGCAUGCUGCAGGGUGAGUGCGGACCGAAGGGUGUACGUCAGGAUAAGGGUGUGAGUGUGAAUGAGGAUGAGCAUGGCUGUUGUCGUGACCGGCGGUGCGUGAAGGAUGGAACGUGUGUCCAGGAAUGGGUUGCCAUGGUAAGAAUAGGGCUGGAUUGAGGGACUAGCCUAGUGUCACGUCACCUCUAAAUCGAGACUCACAAUUUGUUGGGAAGGAAAGAAUUAAAAAUGUGAGCACACAAAAAAUGUCCAAGAGAGUGUGUAUGGGAAUGAGGGUACAGGUUGGGAGAAUCCGGGAUGGAGAGUGACUAUAAGGUUAUCAGGGAGGAAGAAAAAGAGAUGGAGGAGAAAUAGAGAUGAGGGAGAUGUUUGUUUGUCGCUUUUUUCGAAGCAGGAGGCAGCAAAGAGGAGUCAAAGCCACGCGUGUGAUUUUGAUCGUGGAUCAAAGGGAGGGAUGUAGAAAGCAACGCACGGGCCUCCGUCCUGUGUGUCCACACAACUGCCGUCCAUGUUAUGCUAUGUUAUUUGGGCAGCAUCUUCGUCUCCCUCUCUCCAAUGUAUAUCAUGAUGUAACAGUUAACAAUGUCAAGGAAAAGGUGUGUAAGCUCAUCAGCAGAGGA
RNAcentral lists this small RNA (1580 nucleotides) under Cryptococcus neoformans H99. RNAcentral describes it as "Cryptococcus neoformans var. grubii H99 hypothetical RNA". Lineage: Eukaryota; Fungi; Basidiomycota; Tremellomycetes; Tremellales; Cryptococcaceae. The record is from RNAcentral.